Molecule: ribosomal RNA, 522 nt
Filed under: uncultured bacterium
Lineage: Bacteria
Description: bacterial SSU rRNA
Rfam family: Bacterial small subunit ribosomal RNA
Source: RNAcentral
AUCCAGAGAACUUAGCAGAGAUGCUUUGGUGCCUUCGGGAACUCUGAGACAGGUGCUGCAUGGCUGUCGUCAGCUCGUGUUGUGAAAUGUUGGGUUAAGUCCCGNAACGAGCGCAACCCUUAUCCUUUGUUGCCAGCGGUUCGGCCGGGAACUCAAAGGAGACUGCCGGUGAUAAACCGGAGGAAGUGGGGAUGACGUCAAGUCAUCAUGGCCCUUACGGCCAGGGCUACACACGUGCUACAAUGGCGCAUACAAAGAGAAGCGACCUCGCGAGAGCAAGCGGACCUCAUAAAGUGCGUCGUAGUCCGGAUUGGAGUCUGCAACUCGACUCCAUGAAGUCGGAAUCGCUAGUAAUCGUAGAUCAGAAUGCUACGGUGAAUACGUUCCCGGGCCUUGUACACACCGCCCGUCACACCAUGGGAGUGGGUUGCAAAAGAAGUAGGUAGCUUAACCUUCGGGAGGGCGCUUACCACUUUGUGAUUCAUGACUGGGGUGAAGUCGUAACAAGGUAGGCGUAGCGAG